This 253-nucleotide ribosomal RNA is filed under the name uncultured bacterium. RNAcentral's name for it is "partial 16S ribosomal RNA". It matches the Rfam family "Bacterial small subunit ribosomal RNA", at positions 524 to 776 of the family's 1533-position model. The record is from RNAcentral.
UACGUAGGGGGCGAGCGUUGUCCGGAUUUAUUGGGCGUAAAGAGCGUGUAGGCGGCCAGGUAGGUCUGCUGUGAAAACUCGAGGCUCAACCUCGAGACGUCGGCGGAAACCAUCUGGCUAGAGUCCGGAAGAGGAGAAUGGAAUUCCCGGUGUAGCGGUGAAAUGCGCAGAUAUCGGGAAGAACACCCGUGGCGAAGGCGGUUCUCUGGGACGGUACUGACGCUGAGACGCGAAAGCGUGGGGAGCGAACAGG